Small nucleolar RNA from Lampris incognitus (smalleye Pacific opah), 77 nucleotides. RefSeq annotates it as small nucleolar RNA SNORD66. The record is from RefSeq and is a predicted model, not a curated record. Lineage: Eukaryota; Metazoa; Chordata; Actinopteri; Lampriformes; Lampridae. The transcript has a single exon.
CUCCAUUGAUGACCUCAAGUUUGUGCCACGUGUCUGGGCCACUGAAUGUAAAUGAUGGGAUUGAGAAACUGAAGGAG